RNAcentral lists this ribosomal RNA (434 nucleotides) under uncultured bacterium. RNAcentral's name for it is "partial 16S ribosomal RNA". It matches the Rfam family "Bacterial small subunit ribosomal RNA", at positions 29 to 507 of the family's 1533-position model. The record is from RNAcentral.
AGCGAACGCUGGCGGCAGGCCUAACACAUGCAAGUCGAACGAACCUUUCGGGGUUAGUGGCGGACGGGUGAGUAACACGUGGGAACGUGCCUUUAGGUUCGGAAUAACUCAGGGAAACUUGUGCUAAUACCGAAUGUGCCCUUCGGGGGAAAGAUUAAUCGCCUUUAGAGCGGCCCGCGUCUGAUUAGCUAGUUGGUUGAGGUAAUGGCUCACCAAGGCGACGAUCAGUAGCUGGUCUGAGAGGAUGAUCAGCCGCAUUGGGACUGAGACACGGCCCAAACUCCUACGGGAGGCAGCAGUGGGGAAUCUUGCGCAAUGGGCGAAAGCCUGACGCAGCCAUGCCGCGUGAAUGAUGAAGGUCUUAGGAUUGUAAAAUUCUUUCACCGGGGACGAUAAUGACGGUACCCGGAGAAGAAGCCCCGGCUAACUUCGUG